Molecule: long non-coding RNA, 323 nt
Organism: Sander lucioperca (pikeperch)
Lineage: Eukaryota; Metazoa; Chordata; Actinopteri; Perciformes; Percidae
Exons: 2
Source: RefSeq, a predicted model, not a curated record
CAUCCUGGUAGUACAGAGUAUAGAAUGAUCCAGGAGCUAGAUGAGCAACAGAAACUCAAGUUUUAUACAGGGUUCUGAUGUUUCUCUCAGCAUUUAAAGGAAGGUUAGUAGUAGGUAACAACAGAUGCUACUUCUGAAGGAUUAUUUGCAUGUGUUAAUGACUGGAAGACAAACUAUACAAUUACAGUGUGUGUUUACACUAUAGAUAGCCAACUAGUGUAGAAUGCACAAGUUAUGAUUGGGACAAGUAGAAUAAAAGUUAGGGAUAAAAUGCUGUGUCAAAAUGUCUUGUUGUUUACAUUGAAUAAAUAAGGUUGGGGUAA